This 76-nucleotide transfer RNA is filed under the name Rhodeus albomarginatus. Its description in RNAcentral is "tRNA-Leu". It matches the Rfam family "tRNA". Rfam says of the family: Transfer RNA (tRNA) molecules are approximately 80 nucleotides in length. Their secondary structure includes four short double-helical elements and three loops (D, anti-codon, and T loops). Further hydrogen bonds mediate the characteristic L-shaped molecular structure. tRNAs have two regions of fundamental functional importance: the anti-codon, which is responsible for specific mRNA codon recognition, and the 3' end, to which the tRNAs corresponding amino acid is attached (by aminoacyl-tRNA synthetases). tRNAs cope with the degeneracy of the genetic code in two manners: having more than one tRNA (with a specific anti-codon) for a particular amino acid; and 'wobble' base-pairing, i.e. permitting non-standard base-pairing at the 3rd anti-codon position. The record is from RNAcentral. Lineage: Eukaryota; Metazoa; Chordata; Actinopteri; Cypriniformes; Acheilognathidae.
AUUGGGGUGGCAGAGCAUGGUAAAUUGCAAAAGGUCUAAGCCCUUUAAGUCAGAGGUUCAAAUCCUCUUCCCAGUU